This is a long non-coding RNA of Carassius gibelio (silver crucian carp), 454 nucleotides long. RefSeq lists it as uncharacterized. The transcript has 3 exons. NCBI's taxonomy places the organism in Eukaryota, Metazoa, Chordata, Actinopteri, Cypriniformes, Cyprinidae. The record is from RefSeq and is a predicted model, not a curated record.
CUCUCUUAAUAGUUUUACUCUCAGCUAAACACGGUUACUUUAUAACCUCUUGUUUUCGGCAGUUUUACCCAGGGCUUUAAAAGCAAAGCUAACCUUCACAUCGGUUUCCAGACAUCCUGUGGGACCCUGAAUGUCAUGCAUCUCGUUUGCGCCGGCUGAAUGGACCGGAGUUUGGGGCAAGCAAUGCUGGACAAUUAAAAUGCACACAUUUCCCAGCGUGUGAAACCACCCACCUGGAAACAUGCGAGGGCAACAGCUGGUCAGACAUCUCAUGCUGUUUAAUUACCGCUGACAUCCCCGUGGCUCUUAAUAAAGGUACAUGGAAAUGACAUGAAAAGAAUUAGCAGUAUUACAGCAGCGUUCGUGCUUGACAGCUGGGAAAUCAGGUUAUAGAGGUGGACAACAUGAAAUAAGUUUUGCAUUGCAGGAUUUUAUGAUACACUCUCAGAAAAAA